AUGGCAAAUUUAACUCCAAGAUACAAAAAUGAAAAAGAAACAAAGACACAAAAUACUGGGACAGUAAGGAAAUCAUCAUUUCAAGAGGAAUCAAUGUUCAAAGAUAUUAUGAAGGAACUCCAACGCAUUUCGGAAAAACAGGACCAAUUCCAGGAACAAAUCCAAAAGAUGAGUAUGGAAAUGACAGAAGAUUUAGGAGAAAUGAAGAAAGACAUGUCAAACCUCAAACAAGAAAUAACGGAGGUAAGGAAAGAAGUAAAAGAGAUGAAGGCAGAGAGACAACAUCUAGAAAAGACUCAAAGUGAACAGAAGUUAAAGAUGGAUCAAAUAGAGGAGAACGGCAACCGAUUGGGAACAAUGCAAGAAAGACUUGAACAACAAGCUAUGGAAUUUCAACUAAGAUAUAGGAAAAUAAUAAUACAACUAACAGCCAAAUUGAUGGACUGGCCGGAAGAAGAUGUGGAAGAUAAAAUAGAUAGAGUCUAUAGAAUUUCGACAAAUUACGCAAGACGUAACAAAGCAGACAGAGACGUCAUCGUCAACUUCACAAAAAAAAUUAUAAGAGAUGACAUCUUAAAAUUGAAUAAUGUUACACCAACAAAUUAUAAAGGGAAGAAAGUGGCCAUACUAAAAGAAAUUCCAUCAACGAUGUUAAGGAAAAGGAGGAAGUAUAUGUUUUUAACAGAAGAAUUAAAAAAAUUAAAAAUUAGAUUCCGUUGGGAAAAAGGAGAGGGAAUAAUGACUACGUACAAAGGUGAAAGGUUUUGGCUAACCUCUGAAGAAAAGGCGAGGGAAUUUUAUAAGAGAUUGAAAAGAGAUACAAGAGGGGACAAAACACCAGAACAAGGGAACCCAACCAAAAAAGCGAGAGAGGAGUCACCUGAAAAUAUGGAACUACUCUAUGGACUAGCAGCAACAAAUCUAGAUCUGGUGGAAGAGGAAGAAGAGGUGGAGGAAGAUGAAGAUCAGAAGACAAAAGGAGGCGAGAAAGGAGAAAGAGAAGAUGGAAAAAAUUAAAAUGAACUGGGAUUUGAAAUGCUAUUCAAAUAAUGUAAAUGGAUUGAACACUCCCCAAAAAAGGAAGAAAAUAUUCAAUUAUGUAAAGAAAGGUAAUUAUGAUGUCGUCGCAUUUCAAGAAACGCACAUAUCACAGAAAUUCACAGCAUUAUUGGCACACAAACAAAUUGGAAAGGAAUUCUAUUCAGCGGCCUCAGAAAAAAAGAAAGGAGUAGUCAUCUAUAUAAAAGAAAAAUAUUCAGCACAAUUGGCAUUUAAAGACACAGAAGGAAGAAUGGUGGGGAUCAAAAUUGAUAAAGGAGGGAACAAAUUAUUAAUAUGUAACAUAUAUGCCCCCAAUGGACCCAAAAAUAAAUUCGUCAAGGAAUUAAAGGAUUUAAUUGAAAGCCAAGAAUAUGAUGAUCUAAUGCUGAUGGGGGACUUCAACGGAGUUUUGGAAAGCAAACUGGAUAAAUCAGACCAAGGAAAAAAGACAAAAGACCCGAAGGCAGGACAACUACCAAUAAACUUCAUACUUUUAAAAAAUUAGAUUUGGAAGAUGCCUGGAGAACUUUACAUCCAACCGAGAAAGACUAUACGUUCUAUUCAAACAGAUUUAAAAAUUGGUCAAGAAUUGAUAUGAUCUGGAUGACUAAAACAUUAAUCUCAAAAAUAAAGAAAAUAAAAAUUCUUCCAAAGAUGGACACGGACCAUUGUCCAUUGGAAAUCCAAAUAAACUAAACAGCAAAAAAGAGGAAUGGAGACUGAACGAAAAUUUAAUAAGAUCUGAAGAAGAUGUAAACAACGGGAAAAAAUGCUUAAAAGAAUAUUUUGAAUUCAAUGAUACAGCCGAUGUGGAAAAGACUAUCAUCUGGGAUGCCAGUAAGGCCGUGAUGAGGGGCAACUUCAUUCAACUAAAUGCCAUAAAAAUAAUGCAAAACGGAUUAAACAAAAAGAAAUCCAAAAGGAAAUUGAAAGAACAGAAACAGAACUGAAAAGACAACCAAAUAACACAUCAAUCAAAACAGAACUAGACAUUUUACAAAGACAAAGACAAAAUUUAGAGAUGGAACAGAGAGCUAAAGAAUUGAAAUUUAUGAAACAAUAUCAUUUUAAUAACGCAAAUAAACCUGGGAAAUGGAUGACAAGAUUGUUAAGGAAAAGGAAACAAGAAAGCUGGAUAAUCCAAAUCAACGAGGAAGGAAGAUCUUAUACCACAGACCAUGAAAUCCUGAAACAAUUCAACAAGUUCUAUGGGAAAUUGUACACAAAGGAUCAUAUUAAAAAUGAGGAUAUAAUGAAAUACUUAGGAAGACAAAAUAUCCCGAAAUUAACAGAGACACAGAGAGAAAUGUUAAACAAGGACAUCACAGAAAGAGAAAUAGACACUGCUAUAAAAAAAUUGAACAACAAUAAGUCCCCAGCCCUGAUGGUCUAACAGCAAUUUACUACAAAAAAUUUAAAGAAGAAUUAAUACCUCACUUAAAAACUAUAAUGAACCAAGCCCUACAUUUGGGUAAAAUGCCAAACUCAUGGAAAGAGGCAAAUAUAGUCAUGAUCCCAAAAGAACACUGAUGCUACAAAUGUCAAAAAUUACAGACCAAUAUCGUUAUUAAAUAUCGACUAUAAAAUUUUUACGGCAAUAAUUGCGGAGAGAUUAAAAGAAUAUUUAAAAACUUGGAUCGGGGAGGACCAAACUGGGUUCCUACCAAAUAGGAAUAUUAAAGACAACGUCAGGAGCUUAAUUGACACCAUAGAGUACUAUGAGUGGAAUAAUCAAAAAGAAUUGGCAAUAUUAGCUAUAGACUUUGAGAAAGCAUUUGACAGCAUUAACUGGGAAUUUU
Molecule: long non-coding RNA, 2840 nt
Organism: Anolis carolinensis (green anole)
Lineage: Eukaryota; Metazoa; Chordata; Lepidosauria; Squamata; Anolidae
Source: Ensembl